This 71-nucleotide transfer RNA is filed under the name Tanakia limbata (oily bitterling). RNAcentral's name for it is "tRNA-Gly". It matches the Rfam family "tRNA". Rfam says of the family: Transfer RNA (tRNA) molecules are approximately 80 nucleotides in length. Lineage: Eukaryota; Metazoa; Chordata; Actinopteri; Cypriniformes; Acheilognathidae. The record is from RNAcentral.
AUCUUUCUAGUAUUAGGUCAGUACAAAUGACUUCCAAUCAUUUAGUCUUGGUUAAACCCCAAGGAAAGAUA